This is a long non-coding RNA of Leopardus geoffroyi (Geoffroy's cat), 367 nucleotides long. RefSeq lists it as uncharacterized. The record is from RefSeq and is a predicted model, not a curated record. NCBI's taxonomy places the organism in Eukaryota, Metazoa, Chordata, Mammalia, Carnivora, Felidae. The transcript is spliced from 3 exons.
GGGAGAUCAGGGGCCGAGAACCGGGCACUCCGACUCUGAAAGGUCAAGUUAGUGAGAAGGAAUCCACAAAGGAAACUGGAAAACACGAGGCUAGUGAGGUUGCUUAAAGAAGUGAUGUCUGAGCUCAGAGUGCCUGAUUCUUUGCCUCCCAGUUACACACAGGCUGGUGUCUGUCCCCACAGCUCCUUGAAAACGGCUGAAACUAUUCUGGCAAAGACAUCCGGGUUACUAUGCUGCACCCCUGGAGGUAGACCGGGACCAGCCCGUGGAGCCAAUACCAACUUACCAAAGAGCGGUCCUGGAUGUCCACCUGGCCUUGGCUACUAGCGUUACGAGGGAAUCGGGCAACAGCAGCCCGAAACCCCAG